This 305-nucleotide ribosomal RNA is filed under the name uncultured bacterium. RNAcentral describes it as "bacterial SSU rRNA". It matches the Rfam family "Bacterial small subunit ribosomal RNA", at positions 333 to 652 of the family's 1533-position model. The record is from RNAcentral.
UAAUCCCUACGGGGGGCAGCAGUCGGGAAUAUUGCGCAAUGGAGGAAACUCUGACGCAGCAACGCCGCGUGAAGGAAGAAGGCUUUCGGGUUGUAAACUUCUUUUGUCAGGGACGAAGCAAGUGACGGUACCUGACGAAUAAGCCACGGCUAACUACGUGCCAGCAGCCGCGGUAAUACGUAGGUGGCAAGCGUUAUCCGGAUUUAUUGGGUGUAAAGGGCGUGUAGGCGGGAAUGCAAGUCAGAUGUGAAAACUAUGGGCUCAACCCAUAGCCUGCAUUUGAAACUGUAUUUCUUGAGUGCUGG